Non-coding RNA from Phoenix dactylifera (date palm), 777 nucleotides. Lineage: Eukaryota; Viridiplantae; Streptophyta; Magnoliopsida; Arecales; Arecaceae. The record is from RefSeq and is a predicted model, not a curated record.
UCCGGUCGGGAGGACCUCGCCGGAGGCAAGGUGAGCACCUCCUCCUCCUCCUCCAUCAUCUUUGGCCAUUACCUCUUGGGGAUUGUAGCCGGGAAGCCGCCGGACUGAAUGGGGAAAGCCGAACCCUGUUCGGCCUUCUCCUCUUCCGUUCCGGCCAGCCGACGCCGGGCGUGGCAUCGCCGGCACGCCACAGGCCAACGACCAUGGAGCGUCGCUGGCCGUGGGCUGCCUACUGCCGAACCCCCCUUUUCUCCCCUUUCCGCCGGGAAGAAGGAAGAAGAGAGAAAGAGAAAGGGGCUUCCCAUUCCCUUUCUCUUAAUUUAUUUUCCUCUCUCUAGUUGGGUUCCGGGGAGUUCAUUGCUUUGAGGACUCUACAUAGUCUUGGAAAUGCUAGAUCUUAGAGGACCCUUUAGAGGAAUCAAACAGGGGUCCUAGAUUAUCAUAUCUCUUUGAUAAAUUUUAAUGAUGACUUGGUUCUGUAGGGGAACAAUCUAUUGGACGAGAGGACGCGGAGCAGAGUCAUGCGCAUUCCGGUUCAUAGAUCGCCGUGAGGGUGGGUGAUUAGUUGUCUGAGUUUUCAAUAAAGAAGUUACAUGAUGCAUUGAUUUGGACGGGAUGGGUGCAGAGUGCGAGUACCCGAGUCAUUAGUUAGUUGGUUUGUUUAUCUUUCUUUGAUGUUGAUGAACAUUUGAAGAUCUUGUAAUUGAACUAAUUUGUUUAUCUGGUGUGGACAUGUUGGAUUUGUCUAUUUGAAUUACUAAAUUAAUUGUGGAUUUA